This 253-nucleotide ribosomal RNA is filed under the name uncultured bacterium. RNAcentral's name for it is "partial 16S ribosomal RNA". It matches the Rfam family "Bacterial small subunit ribosomal RNA", at positions 524 to 776 of the family's 1533-position model. The record is from RNAcentral.
UACAGAGGCCCCAAGCAUUACCCGGAAUUAUUGGGCGUAAAGGGUGCGUAGGUGGUCAUAUUAGUCGUUUGUUAAAAACCGGGGCCCAACCCCGGAGAUGCGGGCGAAACGGUAUGACUUGAGAGCGUGAGAGGUACAUGGAACUCUAAGUGUAGGGGUGAAAUCCGUUGAUAUUUAGGGGAACACCGAAAGCGAAGGCAAUGUACUGGCGCGUUUCUGACACUGAAGCACGAAAGCGUGGGUAGCGAAUGGG